Gallus gallus (chicken) is the source of this 3478-nucleotide long non-coding RNA. Lineage: Eukaryota; Metazoa; Chordata; Aves; Galliformes; Phasianidae. The record is from Ensembl.
AGAUUUUGCUCUUCAUUUGUGCUGUUUUAGGUGCUGGGCUUUGGAUUCCUGGCCCUGUUCUGAAGCACUUGAUACAUAAAGAGAUGUUCAUCUGGUGGCCUGGAAACUUUUGUGGUUCUGUUUAAAAAGGAAUUUAUUCAGAAGAAAAAUCUCCUGCACUUACUGGGAAGGAAAAGGAUGUAAUUACUGGGCUGCUGCUGAAAGACUUAUACUGGUUCCUGAAGAGAAAGACAUAUGAAGGUGCUGAGCGCUUAGUGACUUGGCGGGGUGGGUUGGAGGAGAAAGACUGCAAGCAGGGCUGGCACUGUUUGAUGCCCCAACCACCUGUCAGCAGAGUACAGGACUAUAAGGGCUGGUCCACAGCUAUCAUCUGCUACAGCACCAGGGUUUCUUUCUGCACUUGCAUGAGGUAACAAAAAGGAGUACAACUUACUGAUACGCUUGUGGGACAAAUAUUACUGCUGCUGAUUUCACUCCAGGAUGCUAAACAGAUUCAGGACGUUGUUUUCAUCUGAUUUGUGUAAAUGCCAUUCAUACUGGAAAGACUCAUGGGGAUUUUUGCCUUCCAAGCCUGUUUUCAGUAAUGGCAAUCCAACCAAAUGGCUGGCGUUCCUGAGAAUAUUAAAAUGGGAUGGAUGGGUCAAGAGUUAGUAUAAACUACUUCAGGAACACUCUGUGUAUGCUAUGGAUAGAGCAGUUCUCUGUGGGAGAACAGCAGCAGGCUUGGUACAGCACAAGCAAGCGACUGGGGAACAAUUCUCUGGGAAACGCACUGUAAAAGUCUUGUAUUGAUCCAUAAGGUGGCUUCAGGUCUCCAACAUGGAGUUGUGUUGCAUACACCCACAGAGGGACACUAAGCCUCUGUGCCCACCCAAUUAAAGCUUCAGCCCUAGCUGAAGCACUGGAGCUAGUGUUGUGUAAAGUGAUACUGCAGUAUCUCUUGAGCACCGAGGUGUUCAGAUGUGAUGAUGGCAGGAGAAUCAGGGGAGAGAGAGAGUUACAGGAAAUAUUCCCUGGAAUAAUGAUUUAUUGUGGUCUUUUCUAAUUUUCCUGCUUACUGAUAACUUGCCUGCUGACAGCUGUAUGCAUACAUGUUAAGUCAGUCUUUAUCAUCUAACAAUUCUGAGCCUUUGAGGUUCCAGCUGACUCCUUGUUUCUGCUCUUCUGUCACAGGCCAAAGAAACAGUUUUAAUAACUACAUGUUUGUUCAGAUUUGUUUGUCCAGCUCUCAUUACUUAGUAAGGGUCACUUAACAUCUCUGCAGUGUUGUACAGGACAAACUGAAAAAUGAAGCUGUCCUUAAAGGAACUGAGACAACAGAAUAUAGCUAUGCAAGCUGAAACACAAACAGCAUCCAAAAAACACAGGAGGAAUUCCCCUUGGCACAGUUGUACUCAGAAAACAUGCCAUGCAUUUGCAGUAACUACGGAGCUUGGAUUUACCACUCAAUGGGGGAAAAAAAUGGACUUGAUAGUUUUUCUGCAUUGGAACAUGAGGCUGUACUGUACCUUUCUUGUGUUACACUCUUCUGAAGCUGAGGAAAGUCCAUGGUGUUAACAGCGCUAACAUAGGAAUGGGAUGUAUUUGCCGAGAGUAGGAAAGAUACUCGGCCCCACUUGCAGGCUAAGUGCCUUCUGCUUUAUCAUUAUACUGUCCAUGUUAUCAAUAUGGCCCAGUAUUCUUCAUUUCCUCCCCUGAAAGACUGUUCAGUUGUAGCAACUGUUGUUAAACAGAGGUAGCAUUUCACCCAGGAGCUGGCUGCAUAUCAGUCCUGGAUAAAGUGGUUCCUUGCCAAGAAAGCUUGCAAAAUGCUUUCUGUCUGAACAAAACUAUGGGCCAGUUUUUAUUACAUGCUAUUAUUAUAAUUAUAGGUUCUUCUGCUUAAUCAGGAUGUGCUUAAUUAGGAUAGCCAUUUAAUUGGGACAUCUCCCAAGGAACCAAUUUAACUUAAUGAUAUUAGUGCUAUCUAAUCAGGACAGCUUCAGGAAAAAAAAAAUCAAAAGCUUUUUUAAAAAAUAAAAUAACAUAAAAAUAAGACCCCAGGAGGGAAAAAGAUAAGCUGAUGUUUUGCUGGUCUGAUGCAUCUACUCCAUUCCCUGAAGGUUUGGGUUGCAUUCAGCAGCUGCAGGUAUAUCUCAUUAAGGUUGUGGUGUUGUCCUGUUGUGAAAGUACCCAGCACCACACUUGCUGCUGCUGUUGGUGGAUGCAAAGUAGCCUGGAAGAUGAGGCCCAGGAACUUCAUACUGUCCCUCAGUGGGUGAGGAACAAAUCCCCUGACCAAUGGCUUAGUGGGGCACAAGGCUGACUUCAGCUGUACUGUUGGCUUUAAGGAAUCCCAGUCCCCGAUGUUCUCAACCCCCUGCUUGUUCCCAUGCUUCAACGUCACUGUCUCUCCAGUUGCAGUGAUGCAGUAUUAACUGGAUCAGUGACAAGACAAGGUUUAAAAUAACUUCUCUCUCUUUUUUUUUAGAAUGUUUGUGGGGUUUUUUUUAUUGUUAUUUUUAAAUGCGUAUCAGUUCAGCUUUCCAUUUGUCAGCUCUCCUGGGAUGCACUGCCAUGUCUCAGGGAGUGAUAAACAAGUGGGUAGAGAGAGCUGGAAAAGACACUGGCACAAUUCAGGAACCCAACACAGUGUAUAAUUGCAUACUGAUUUACACCGUCUCACUGAAAGUAGGAAUGGAUAUUACCUGAUAGUAAUUAAAGAAAUCAUGCCUCGGUCUUCAUCUGACUGUACCUCUUGGGUGCUUUUCCUAUAUGGGUAUGCAGAAUCACAUGUGCCUACUUCAGUGCACUUGAGUAGUGAGCUAACAGUUAACCAAGAACUAAAAAUGCUUGAAAGUAUAUCCAGCAAGUUCUGCACAGGUAUGUACUCCUCAGGGGCUGCAAGAAGUGAACUUAUUCAAGCUAAGUUAAUUACAAAAUGAAGUGAUUCCCCAGGAAUGAUGAAUGUCCUAAUUGCGUGCCUGCUGGUUAUUUGGGUCACCUUGUGCAGCCCCAUCUUCUUUUCAAUGAUCUUACUCCUAAAGACAUAGGGCUGCAGUUUUCAGACUCAUGCAGCUGGUUGGUAAGUGCAGGGUUGGGUUCCAUACCUGCUCGGCUGUGACCUUGGUUAGUCACCUUGGAGCUGCAUUUGCUGUUAGAUUUCAACACAGUUUUAGGAACUUUCAGGGAUCCUCUUCUGGGAUUUGGGUGCUUAAUCUUAGAGCUCUGCUGUCAAUUCUCUGCUGCACGUGAAGUCCUAUUGUGAUUUGUAAACACCUAUUAAAACAUUUGCCAAUGUUUUCUUCAAUAGAAAUUAUAACUAUUAUUAAAAAAGAAAUUUGAUAAAGAGUAAGUAUUCCUUGGUGUUGUUACUACUUACUGGCCCUAUACUUCUGAUUUAUUUCUGUUUUGAUGUAAAAGGAAACGUUGAACAUAUUCUAAGUAUAAAAUGUAGUAUUGUUACUGAUAAACACAGUGAGAAUAAACAUCACACUGC